This is a long non-coding RNA of Mustela lutreola (European mink), 1360 nucleotides long. RefSeq lists it as uncharacterized. The record is from RefSeq and is a predicted model, not a curated record. The transcript is spliced from 4 exons. Lineage: Eukaryota; Metazoa; Chordata; Mammalia; Carnivora; Mustelidae.
CCAGGCUAAAUAAUCUGCUUGGGUUCACUCUCAGUAGUUUUUGUUCCCUGAAUGCUUUCUGUAUUGCUUUGGAGGAUGGGAAUGAAAAUGGCCGCCACCCAAUCUCUGGCCCCAUAGAAGCCAAGAGCUCAGGGCCCCACUCCUCAGUGCACCUUCAGAGGGGGUCUGCUUUGAAGACCAGCAAGCCACAUGCCAAAAGCCAUGUGCCUGACCUGCUGUAGCCUGGACUGGCUCCCUUGUCUAGCAACCACUGUCCCCAUGGAGGAGUUGGAAGAAUCCUCAUGGCCUAAAGCAAACAAGAUAGAAGGAGUUCCUGAAGAAUGUGGGGAAUUGGAAAGUAGAGGGAAAAUUGAGGAGACACAGUGGCUUCUGGAUUGGAACCAUAUAGUAGCUGAAAGCCUUUAAUAUAUACUUCAAAUCUGUGAAAAUGCGUGCAUAAUUACUUGGGUACAUAAGCAUGUUACUGAGCUGACCAUCCUUUGGCAUCAAGAAUGACUGACCUGACGACUGCUCUACCUUGUGGACACAAGGCCGUGGGAGCGCCAGCCUCUCAGUGCAGCCCCUAUGGAACAGAAUGGAGAACUGGUCACCUGGCUCCCAGCUCCCGCUAUCACACGUCUGUCCCGUGUUGCAUGUGUCCCAUGCACUUGCAGGCUGCAUGUGGGUUCGAUCCAGGUGGAUGCACUUUUCUGUCUCAGCAUCAACAGGGAAGCCAGGGGGCAGGAGGCUAGAGACUCUGGGCAUUGGCAGGAGGUGGGGAGUUGCCGGGCUGUGUCCGUGUGAAGGUGAUGGGAGCCUGCAAACAAGCUGGCCACUGCAAAGGGGAAGCAAGAGCAUUGAACUGAAGCAUGAAAGGUAUUUGCUACAACCUUCUCGCUUUUCUCUUGUACUCUUUCUGAUAAGCGAGGAGCCUCCUCUGACAGCUAGGUAGCCAGAAAAAUUUAAAAAAGGCAAAAGUCCACUUUAGUACUGACCGUCUGCAUUAUCCUGGUGUAUUGCUGAGAUAGGGAUAGGGAUGAAAUAAAACCUCAUGAACAAAUUUCUUGCAAACAAAUAGUUCUUGAAGCUAAAAGCAAACCCACUCCUGAGAUUGCUUUUGGUGAUAGUUACUCAAGAUGUGGAUAUAGUGAAUAUAUAGGUAUUCUAGACUCUUUUUGCCUUGUUGAUACAUUCUAAUGAGUUUUAAGUGCUCUGUUCUCUGAUUUCCCAUACCAUGCUUACCGUUUCUUUCCAACUCUUUCGUCCUCACAAUUGCUUAGUGAUAAUUGUUUCAGAAACCAGUGAACAUACACUUAAACAUUCACAAUAUGCACUUGGAAAAUAAAGGAUAAAGAAAAGAUAUGAAAAUUAAACAUGGUGU